Molecule: ribosomal RNA, 496 nt
Filed under: uncultured bacterium
Lineage: Bacteria
Description: partial 16S ribosomal RNA
Rfam family: Bacterial small subunit ribosomal RNA
Source: RNAcentral
GAUGAACGCUGGCGGCGUGCCUAAUACAUGCAAGUCGAGCGAACGGACGAGAAGCUUGCUUCUCUGAUGUUAGCGGCGGACGGGUGAGUAAGACGUGGAUAACCUACCUAUAAGACUGGGAUAACUUCGGGAAACCGUAGCUAAUACCGGAUAAUAUUUUGAACCGCAUGGUUCAAAAGUGAAAGACGGUCUUGCUGUCACUUAUAGAUGGAUUCGCGCUGCAUUAGCUAGUUGGUAAGGUAACGGCUUACCAAGGCAACGAUGCAUAGCCGACCGGAGAGGGUGAUCGGCCACAUGGGAACUGAGACACGGUCCAGAUUCUUACGGGAGGCAGCAGUGGGGAAUCUGCCGCAAUGGGCGAAAGCCUGACGGAGCAACGCCGCGUGAGUGAUGAAGGUCUUCGGAUCGUAAAACUCUGUUAUGAGGGAAGAACAUAUGUGUAAGUAACUGUGCACAUCUUGACGGUACCUAAUCAGAAAGCCACGGCUAACUACGU